AGAGUUUGAUCCUGGCUCAGAGCGAACGCUGGCGGCAGGCUUAACACAUGCAAGUCGAGCGGGCACUUCGGUGUCAGCGGCAGACGGGUGAGUAACACGUGGGAACGUACCCUUCGGUUCGGAAUAACGCUGGGAAACUAGCGCUAAUACCGGAUACGCCCUUAUGGGGAAAGGUUUACUGCCGAAGGAUCGGCCCGCGUCUGAUUAGCUAGUUGGUGGGGUAAUGGCCUACCAAGGCGACGAUCAGUAGCUGGUCUGAGAGGAUGAUCAGCCACACUGGGACUGAGACACGGCCCAGACUCCUACGGGAGGCAGCAGUGGGGAAUAUUGGACAAUGGGCGCAAGCCUGAUCCAGCCAUGCCGCGUGAGUGAUGAAGGCCUUAGGGUUGUAAAGCUCUUUUGUCCGGGACGAUAAUGACGGUUCCGGAAGAAUAAGCCCCGGCUAACUUCGUGCCAGCAGCCGCGGUAAUACGAAGGGGGCUAGCGUUGCUCGGAAUCACUGGGCGUAAAGGGCGCGUAGGCGGCCAUUCAAGUCGGGGGUGAAAGCCUGUGGCUCAACCACAGAAUUGCCUUCGAUACUGUUUGGCUUGAGUAUGGCAGAGGUCAGUGGAACUGCGAGUGUAGAGGUGAAAUUCGUAGAUAUUCGCAAGAACACCAGUGGCGAAGGCGGCUGACUGGGCCAUUACUGACGCUGAGGCGCGAAAGCGUGGGGAGC
This 715-nucleotide ribosomal RNA is filed under the name uncultured bacterium. RNAcentral describes it as "bacterial SSU rRNA". It matches the Rfam family "Bacterial small subunit ribosomal RNA", at positions 8 to 769 of the family's 1533-position model. The record is from RNAcentral.